UACGUAGGUGGCAAGCGUUAUCCGGAAUUAUUGGGCGUAAAGCGCGCGCAGGCGGUUUCUUAAGUCUGAUGUGAAAGCCCACGGCUCAACCGUGGAGGGUCAUUGGAAACUGGGGAACUUGAGUGCAGAAGAGAAAAGCGGAAUUCCACGUGUAGCGGUGAAAUGCGUAGAGAUGUGGAGGAACACCAGUGGCGAAGGCGGCCCCCUGGUUGGAUACUGACGCUGAUACGCGAAAGCGUGGGGAGCAAACAGG
Molecule: ribosomal RNA, 253 nt
Filed under: uncultured bacterium
Lineage: Bacteria
Description: partial 16S ribosomal RNA
Rfam family: Bacterial small subunit ribosomal RNA
Source: RNAcentral